This 719-nucleotide long non-coding RNA is filed under the name Salmo salar (Atlantic salmon). RNAcentral describes it as "lncRNA (ENSSSAG00000104529.1)". Lineage: Eukaryota; Metazoa; Chordata; Actinopteri; Salmoniformes; Salmonidae. The record is from RNAcentral.
CACACACACACACACACACACACACACACACACACACACACACACACACACACACACACACACACACACACACGUUUAAUUACAUUUCUGUCAUUUACAGCCAAUAAUAAUCAUGUGCAUACGCUAAGUGGUCUGAACAGUAACAUGCAACUGGGCUGAUUGCAUGCAUUUUCUAUCAGUCAAUCAAUCAAUCAAUCAAUGAAAUGUAUUUAUGAAGUCCUUUUUACAUCAGCCGAUGUCACAAAGUGCUAUACAGAAACCCACCCCAAAACCCCAAACAGCAAGCAAUGCAGAUGUAGAAGUUAUUGAGUAAAUAUGGUGAGAGCAAAGGAAGAGGGGGAAGGUGCCUGUUGAAGUACAGAUAGAGGGCCGUGGUGAUGUUGAAGUGCAGAUAGAGGGCCGCGGUGGUGUUGAAGUACAGAUAGAGGGCCGUGGUGAUGUUGAAGUGCAGAUAGAGGGCCGCGGUGAUGUUGAAGUGCAGAUAGAGGGCCGCGGUGGUGUUGAAGUGCAGAUAGAGGGCCGUGGUGGUGUUGAAGUGCAGAUAGAGGGCCGUGGUGGUGUUGAAGUGCAGGUAGAGGGCUGCGGUGGUGUUGAAGUGCAGAUAGAGGGCCGUGGUGGUGUUGAAGUGCAGAUAGAGGGCCCUGGUGGUGUUGAAGUGCAGAUAGAGGGCCCUGGUGGUGUUGAAGUGCAGAUAGAGGGCCGUGGUGGUGUUGAAGUGC